AAUCACUACACUCACUGCCAUC
RNAcentral lists this microRNA (22 nucleotides) under Columba livia (rock pigeon). Its description in RNAcentral is "cli-miR-34b-3p". Its record names the gene cli-miR-34b-3p. The record is from miRBase by way of RNAcentral. Lineage: Eukaryota; Metazoa; Chordata; Aves; Columbiformes; Columbidae.